UAAGGAAUAUUGGUCAAUGGAGGCAACUCUGAACCAGCCAUGCCGCGUGAAGGAUUAAGGCCCUCUGGGUUGUAAACUUCUUUUAUAUGGGAAGAAAUGUUCUGAUUCUUCAGAGCUUGACGGUACCAUAGGAAUAAGCACCGGCUAACUCCGUGCCAGCAGCCGCGGUAAUACGGAGGGUGCAAGCGUUAUCCGGAUUCACUGGGUUUAAAGGGUGCGUAGGUGGGCAGAUAAGUCAGUGGUGAAAUCUUCCGGCUUAACCGGAAAAUUGCCGUUGAUACUAUUUGUCUUGAAUAUUGUGGAGGUAAGCGGAAUAUGUCAUGUAGCGGUGAAAUGCUUAGAUAUGACAUAGAACACCAAUUGCGAGGGCAGCUUACUAUAUAAUUAUUGACACUGAGGCACGAAAGCGUGGGUAGCGAACA
RNAcentral lists this ribosomal RNA (422 nucleotides) under uncultured bacterium. RNAcentral's name for it is "bacterial SSU rRNA". It matches the Rfam family "Bacterial small subunit ribosomal RNA", at positions 355 to 774 of the family's 1533-position model. The record is from RNAcentral.